RNAcentral lists this ribosomal RNA (460 nucleotides) under uncultured bacterium. RNAcentral's name for it is "partial 16S ribosomal RNA". It matches the Rfam family "Bacterial small subunit ribosomal RNA", at positions 338 to 795 of the family's 1533-position model. The record is from RNAcentral.
CCUACGGGAGGCAGCAGUGAGGAAUAUUGGUCAAUGGACGAGAGUCUGAACCAGCCAAGUAGCGUGAAGGAUGACUGCCCUAUGGGUUGUAAACUUCUUUUAUAUGGGAAUAAAAUGUUCCACGUGUGGGAUUUUGUAUGUACAAUAUGAAUAAGGAUCGGCUAACUCCGUGCCAGCAGCCGCGGUAAUACGGAGGAUCCGAGCGUUAUCCGGAUUUAUUGGGUUUAAAGGGAGCGUAGGUGGAUUGUUAAGUCAGUUGUGAAAGUUUGCGGCUCAACCGUAAAAUUGCAGUUGAAACUGGCAGUCUGGAGUACAGUAGAGGUGGGCGGAAUUCGUGGUGUAGCGGUGAAAUGCUUAGAUAUCACGAAGAACUCCGAUUGCGAAGGCAGCUCACUGGACUGCAACUGACACUGAGGCUCGAAAGUGUGGGUAUCAAACAGGAUUAGAUACCCCAGUAGUC